Molecule: long non-coding RNA, 1280 nt
Organism: Bactrocera neohumeralis
Lineage: Eukaryota; Metazoa; Arthropoda; Insecta; Diptera; Tephritidae
Exons: 3
Source: RefSeq, a predicted model, not a curated record
GUAUGUGUGUGCUGGGUUUGUAAUCGAGUAGGUUUUGGUAUGAUGGAGUGAUAUUAAAUGGCAGUCUGCAGUUCGAGCUAUAAUUUUCUGCUCGGCACAAUGGUAUUUGCAAUGGAAAGAUUGAGAGCGAUGGAAUGCAACAUUUGGAAGUUUUGUUGGAACUUAACCGAGUUCUAACGAUCACAGUAACUUCAAAUGCAACCGUGUUCUGAUUAACUGUCAUAUGUCAGUUGGAUACUGUUAAAAUUGGGCAAGUAAGAAAAAUUUGUUAGAACAAAACUACAGAUGAAGACAUCGUUUUAUAGGAAAUUUUAUUGGGAUACAAUCAGGAUUUAACCGUUCAGUUAAAAUUCAUCUUGGAAUAGACCGACCAAGACUGAUAGAGACAAGAUUGCAACAAACAUGUUUUUAAACGGAGCUGGCUAUACAAAUUUUCAUAGUGAUUAUAAACCAAGAAUUUCUUUUCUUUCAUUCAUGACGUCACGCGCCAUUGUAACGGGUGAUUCAAGUAGAUGUAUUUUUUUCAAUCGCCUUUUUUUGACAGUUCACGCGUACUCGAAGACCGUGGAGAGUCGAUUCGACGUCGUUUGCAACCACUCGGACUGACGUAUGGAACGUCUUGGCGCAUUUUACGUCGAGAUCUUCAAUUGAAAGCGUACAAAAUACAGCUCGUGCAGAAACUGGUGCCGCUCGUCCUUUCCAAGCGACAUCGCAUCGCUCUAUGAGCUCUUGAAGAGUUCCAAGAAGAUCCGAUGUUUUCAAGCAAAAUUUUGUUCAGCGAUGAGACCACAUUUCUGACUCAAUGGAAAAACAGCAGUUUCGUGCGGCUGUGGGUCUGUGGAAUCAUUGGUCCAUAUUUCUUCAAAAAUAAUGCCGGUGAGAACGUAACCGUCAAUGGCGACCGUUAUCGCGCCAUGAUAACCAACUAUUUGAUGCCUAAAUUGAAGCUCAUGAUCUCGGCGAUAUUUGGUUUCAAUAAGAUGGCGCCACUUCCCACACAUUGCAUCAAUCAAUGGAUUCAUUGAGAGAACACUUCGGUGAACAGAUAAUUUCACGUUUUGUGUCGGUCGAUUGGCAGCCCUUAAUCACACCGUUAGACUUUUUUCGGUUGGGGUAAGUAAAGUCUAAAGUCUAUGCGAUCAAUUCCGCUUCGAUUCAGGCCUUGGAGCAAAACAUCACGCGUGUCAUGCGCAAGUUACCAGUCGAAAUGAUCGAACGAGUCAUCGGAUGGACCAUCUGAUAAUCUUCCAAAAAUAAAUACCAAAGAAUGUUCUUUCGAA